CUGGCGGCGUGGCUAGACAUGCAAGUCGAACGGAUCAUAGUAGCAAUACUAUGGUUAGUGGCGGAUGGAUGAGUAAUGCAUAAAUAACGUACCCCAAUCUUCGGGAUAACUGCGGGUUUACCCUUUAGCGAAAGUGCAGAUAAUACCGGAUAAUAUACCGAGGUCGAAUGGCCAUGGUAUCAAAGAAUUUUGGUUUGGGAGCGGUUUAUGUCGUAUCAGUUAGUUGGUGGGGUAAUGGCCUACCAAGACUUUGACGCAUAGCGGGACUGAGAGGUCGGCCCGCCAUAUCGGGACUGAGACACUGCCCGGACCUCCACGGAGGGCUGCAGUAACGAAUAUUGCGCAAUGGCCGAAAGGCUGACGCAGCGACGCCGCGUGUAGGAUGAAGCUCCUCGGGGUGUAAACUACUGUCGUGGUGAAGAAAGAUCUGAUCGAUCCAGAAGGAAGGACCGGCUAAAUUCGUGCCAGCAGCCGCGGUAAUACGAAUGGUCCAAGCGUUGUUCGGAAUCACUGGGCUUAAAGCGCACGUAGGUGGAUUAUUAAGUGUCUCGUGAAAUCCCACGGCUUAACUGUGGAACUGCGGGGCAUACUGGUAAUCUUGAGGCAAGUAGGAGUACAUGGAACUCUGAGUGGAGCGGUGAAAUGCGUAGAUAUUCAGAGGAACGCCAGAGGUGAAAACGGUGUACUGGGCUUGUUCUGACACUGAGGUGCGAAAGCGUGGGUAGCAAACAGGAUUAGAUACCCUGGUAGUCCACGCUGUAAACGAUGCAUACUAGACUAUGGGAACUCUGACGUUUUCGUAGUCGUAGCAAAAGUAUUAAGUAUGCCGCCUGGGGAGUACGGUCGCAAGGCUAAAACUCAAAGGAAUUGACGGGGGCUCACACAAGCAGUGGAGCAUGUGGCUUAAUUCGAAGCAACGCGAAGAACCUUAUCCUGGAUUUGACUAUUAUGGAUGCCCUCCGUGAAAGCGGAGUAAGCUGCCUUCGGGUGAAACAUAAACAGGUGCUGCAUGGCUGUCGUCAGCUCGUGUCGUGAGAUGUCGGGUUAAGUCCCUUAACGGGCGAAACCCUUAUCGUUAGUUGCCAACACGUUAUGGUGGGAACUCUAGCGAGACUGCCGGUGUUAAACCGGAGGAAGGUGGGGAUGACGCCAAGUCCUCAUGGCCUUUAUGUCCAGGGCUGCACACGUGCUACAAUGCCGCGUACAAACCGACGCGAUACCGCGAGGUGGAGCAAAUCGGAGAAAGCGCGGCCCAGUUCGGAUUGAAGUCUGCAACUCGACUUCAUGAAGUUGGAAUUGCUAGUAAUCGCGGAUCAGCAUGCCGCGGUGAAUAUGUUCCUGAGCCUUGUACACACCGCCCGUCACACCAUGGGAGUUGAUUUCAUUCGAAGCGGGGAUGCUAA
This 1403-nucleotide ribosomal RNA is filed under the name uncultured Planctomycetota bacterium. Its description in RNAcentral is "uncultured planctomycete 16S ribosomal RNA". It matches the Rfam family "Bacterial small subunit ribosomal RNA". The record is from RNAcentral. Lineage: Bacteria; Pseudomonadati; Planctomycetota.